Molecule: long non-coding RNA, 1262 nt
Filed under: Homo sapiens (human)
Lineage: Eukaryota; Metazoa; Chordata; Mammalia; Primates; Hominidae
Description: HSALNT0269570
Source: RNAcentral
AUCCUGUUUAUUGUAGACAGGGGUCCGCGCACAAAAAUCAGGAUUUGGAGACAGAGGGAGCACUCAGGAGGCAUGGUUUGGGGAAACUGAGUCAGGAGUUAAUGACAUAUAUUGAAUCUUUUUGGUCUCCUGAAAACUCUUAUGCUGUGUAUGUAAGUCACCUCCUCUAGGCUGUCCCCCAGGCUUGCAGGGCCUGCUGGCAAAUGGUCCUAUGUGAGACUGCUUGCCAGGUGGCUGAUGCUGUGCAGGAGGGGAGGGAAUUUGGAGAUGGCCAGUGUCUUUGCCUGCCGAGGGAGUGGAGACUACUGAAAGCCCGUAAUAGGACAGUGGGGCACAAGGCAUGCAUUUUAACAAAGUUUAUCCUGGUGGCCUCUUUCAGGGGUCCAAGGAGCUGCCCAAAGGCCCCCAAGGGGCGGGGAAAUGGAGACCAGGUGGCUUGCACUUUGGACUCCCUCCCCAGCUUCAGGUGGGCUGCCUUGGGCUCUGUCUCCUUUAGACAUGGGACUCUGAGUCAAGUACAUGUCAAGAACGUGUUCCGCAGUGAAAAGGAGAAACAAGUUUGAACGCCACUGAUUUAAACUAAUACAGCAGAUAGCAUUUAAUUCCAGUAAGUGGUUUUUCCCCUUCGGUGGUUUUGAUAUUCUAACAAGCCAACGUGUCUGGAGCUAAGACUCUCAGCUCCUUAAUGGGGAAGGAAAUCCUGGCAAUUUCUCAGCCCCGCUGGACGCUCCUAGCUUGACCUCAGUUUCCUCACCUGUAAAAUUGGGGUGAUCUCAGCUUCACCUUCCAUAUGAAGCCAUUGUAAGGAGCAGAGGAAGUGAGGAAAAGAGGCAAGUUUUCCAGUUGAGGAGACUGGAGGGGUGGAGUGUGACAUAAGAACAAGCCUGCCCGCUGGGGUGUGGUAGGGGUGAAGCCAAUUUCACAGCCUGGGCCCAAGAAAGAAACUACAACUUGAAGAUAAUAGUAUUUACACAGAUUGAAUCUGUGAUAUAAAGUUUAUGGUUCGUUUGGACUGUUCUGGAAUAUCCAAUAAACACUGGGAGUAGAGGAGAGCAGGUGAGGGUUCAAGUGUGAUUCUGAACGUCCCCACCUUCUUGGGGAGGGGGCAGGAUUUAAAUCACAAGAUAUUUAAUCAGAGUUCUCUCCUCUUGGUAGCUCAAAUAAGAAAAACCAAGCAAAGCAAAUCCAUCUUUUCUAUAAAACUUCAUUUUGUAAUUUUUUUCCAAGAAGUAGUAAGGGGGAAAUAUUGCAAUUAUGUAAAG